UGCAGGGCAAGUCUGGUGCCAGCAGCCGCGGUAAUUCCAGCUCCAAUAGCGUAUAUUAAAGUUGUUGUGGUUAAAAAGCUCGUAGUUGAACCUUGGGCCUGGCUGGCCGGUCCGCCUCACCGCGUGUACUGGUCCGGCCGGGCCUUUCCCUCUGUGGAACCCCAUGCCCUUCACUGGGUGUGGCGGGGAAACAGGACUUUUACUUUGAAAAAAUUAGAGUGCUCCAGGCAGGCCUAUGCUCGAAUACAUUAGCAUGGAAUAAUAGAAUAGGACGUGUGGUUCUAUUUUAUUGGUUUCUAGGACCGCCGUAAUGAUUAAUAGGGACAGUCGGGGGCAUCAGUAUUCAAUUGUCAGAGGUGAAAUUCUUGGAUUUAUUGAAGACUAACUACUGCGAAAGCAUUUGCCAAGGAUGUUUUCAUUAAUCAGGAACGAAAGUUAGGGGAUCGAAGACGAUCAGAUACCGUCGUAGUCUUAACCAUAAACUAUGCCGACUAGGGAUCGGACGAUGUUAUUUUUUGACUCGUUCGGCACCUUACGGGAAAC
This 543-nucleotide ribosomal RNA is filed under the name uncultured Ascomycota. Its description in RNAcentral is "SSU rRNA". It matches the Rfam family "Eukaryotic small subunit ribosomal RNA", at positions 549 to 1098 of the family's 1831-position model. Lineage: Eukaryota; Fungi; Ascomycota. The record is from RNAcentral.